This 265-nucleotide ribosomal RNA is filed under the name uncultured archaeon. RNAcentral's name for it is "partial 16S ribosomal RNA". It matches the Rfam family "Archaeal small subunit ribosomal RNA", at positions 717 to 982 of the family's 1478-position model. The record is from RNAcentral.
ACACGAUUACAUUAGAUACCCCUGUAGUCCUAGCCGUAAACGAUACUCGCUAGGUGUCGGCCACGGUGCGACCGUUGUCGGUGCCGUAGGGAAGCCGUGAAGCGAGCCACCUGGGAAGUACGGCCGCAAGGCUGAAACUUAAAGGAAUUGGCGGGGGAGCACCACAACGGGUGGAGCUUGCGGUUUAAUUGGAUUCAACGCCGGAAAUCUUACCGGGACCGACAGCAACAUGAAGGCCAGGCUGAAGACUUUGCCGGAUUAGCUG